Molecule: ribosomal RNA, 499 nt
Filed under: uncultured bacterium
Lineage: Bacteria
Description: bacterial SSU rRNA
Rfam family: Bacterial small subunit ribosomal RNA
Source: RNAcentral
GAUGAACGCUAGCGAUAGGCCUAACACAUGCAAGUCGAGGGGCAGCACAUGAGUAGCAAUACGAUGGUGGCGACCGGCGCACGGGUGAGUAACACGUAUGCAACCUACCUCUAACAGGGGGAUAACCCGUUGAAAGACGGACUAAUACCCCAUAAUACAGGGGCUCCGCAUGGAGAUAUUUGUUAAAGAUUUUAUCGGUUAGAGAUGGGCAUGCGUUCCAUUAGCUAGUUGGUGAGGUAACGGCUCACCAAGGCGACGAUGGAUAGGGGAACUGAGAGGUUUAUCCCCCACACUGGAACUGAGACACGGUCCAGACUCCUACGGGAGGCAGCAGUGAGGAAUAUUGGUCAAUGGAGGCAACUCUGAACCAGCCAAGUCGCGUGAAGGAUGAAGGUCUUAUGGAUUGUAAACUUCUUUGCAGGGGAAUAAAUAGCGGUACGUGUACCGUUUUGCAUGUACCCUGCGAAUAAGGAUCGGCUAACUCCGUGCCAGCAGCCGC